AGCUUUGCAGAGUGGCAAUAUUGUAGCCAAUGAGGUUUAUCUGAGGGGUGAUUACUGCUAAUUGAAAACUUUUCCAGUACCCUGCUGUGGCAACCUGAAAUGUUAUAUUUUUUCAUCCACUGUAUGGA
This is a small nuclear RNA of Bison bison bison, 128 nucleotides long. Its record names the gene U4. It matches the Rfam family "U4 spliceosomal RNA". From Rfam's summary of the family: U4 small nuclear RNA (U4 snRNA) is a component of the major U2-dependent spliceosome. Lineage: Eukaryota; Metazoa; Chordata; Mammalia; Artiodactyla; Bovidae. The record is from Ensembl.